Molecule: ribosomal RNA, 429 nt
Filed under: Verrucomicrobiota bacterium
Lineage: Bacteria; Pseudomonadati; Verrucomicrobiota
Description: Verrucomicrobia bacterium partial 16S ribosomal RNA
Rfam family: Bacterial small subunit ribosomal RNA
Source: RNAcentral
UAGGGAAUCUUCCGCAAUGGACGAAAGUCUGACGGAGCAACGCCGCGUGAGUGAAGAAGGAUUUCGGUUCGUAAAACUCUGUUGUUAGGGAAGAAAAAAUGUAUAGUAACUAUAUACAAAAGAGACGGUACCUAACCAGAAAGCCACGGCUAACUACGUGCCAGCAGCCGCGGUAAUACGUAGGUGGCAAGCGUUGUCCGGAAUUAUUGGGCGUAAAGCGCGCGCAGGUGGUUUAGAAAGUCUGAUGUGAAAGCCCACGGCUCAACCGUGGAGGGUCAUUGGAAACUAAUAAACUUGGGUGCAGGAGAGAAAAGUGGAAUUCCUAGUGUAGCGGUGAAAUGCGUAGAGAUUAGGAGGAACACCGGUGGCGAAAGCGGCUUUUGGGCCUGCAACUGACACUGAGGCGCGAAAGCGUGGGGAGCAAACAGG